Molecule: long non-coding RNA, 2975 nt
Filed under: Pan paniscus (pygmy chimpanzee)
Lineage: Eukaryota; Metazoa; Chordata; Mammalia; Primates; Hominidae
Description: lncRNA (ENSPPAG00000044891.1)
Source: RNAcentral
AUGCCUCCUCUGCCUAACUCCAGUCACCCAGAGCCUCGUCUCGUGGGUCUCCAGCCUCCUGGUCCAAUCGGCUGGGGCCGCCUCUCAUCUUCCAGGACCCGCCCUCUCCCGCCGGAAGCGCCCUCCUCCUGGCGGAAACAGCUUCUCCCCGUCCCGCCCCUCAGUCGGCUCUUCACACGGAUACCACGAAUGCCACGGUGGCCUCCUGAAGACGGAGUCCGGUCUCACAUUCCUCCAGCUUCCUGUGGGGCUCCCCCAAAAAUGGAAAUUCAAUCACAAGGCGCCUGGGCUGACGUCUCCCCUCCUAUUUCCGGCUUUGCCCUUUGGAGCCUGAGGAGCAAGGGUAGAAUGAGGAUCGUGAGGUUCUUCAGAGGCAGUUACUCACGAGGUCACAGCGCAGAAACGGCAAGAAAUGUCAGGACAACUAUGGAUGUGAAGGAUGGGAGAGGGGCUUCCUUCCGCAUGAGGUCCCCAGAGGUAUUUGUCUCCAUCUAGAAACUGAGGGGCAUUUGUCUCCAUCCAGGACUUGGGGGGCCUCCUUCUCCAUCCAGGACUGGGUUGUGUCCUUCUGCAUCCAGGACAGGGGGACAUCCUUCUCCAUCCAUGAUUCAGAGUUCAUCUUUCUCUAUCCAGGACAGGGGUUCAUCCUUCUCCAUCUAGGACUUGAGGGACAUCCUUCUCCAUCCAGGACUGAGAGGCAUCCUUCUCCUUGCAGUACCUGAGGGACAUCCUUCUCCAUUCAGGACCUGAGGAUGUCCUUCUCUGUACUCCCUUGGGACUGCACCCUUUCCUGUGCCAUCCUUCAGAAUGCUAGGCUGUCACUGGUUGUGGAUUGAACUCUAGCAUCUUAUCUCUAUUCUAGGUGAAUCCCUUCACAUUUAUAGUGAUUUACCAUUUAAUCACUGUGCCAUUUUCCCCAAAAUAUGUGGGGUUUGGGGUUUGGUUUUUGUUCUUACUUCUAUUAAUUCUUCGGUUCCCACCUCCAGUUGUUUUGUAAUUUCUUUUACAACCUAAUAUGGUCCCAUUUGGUAAGUAUUACCAUGUACUAGAAAAUAAUGUAUAUUCAGUAUUUGUUGUGAUUUUUAAACCUUUAAUAAACUCAUAAGAUUUUUGUCUAUUUUCCAUUUAAAUUGAGAAGUACGAUCCCAGUGUUCCUCUCUCGAUCUGCUCCCAUUAGUCUCCAUGUGUGUCCUGGAGGUGAGGUCAGCAUUGGACUUAACCCUGUGUCACCUCCUUGGUUCUACUGCUCACCUGUGGCAUCCAUCCUGCUGUUUAUUAUUUUUUCCUUAAAUUGUAUUUGAACUAUUAAUUUUGCUACAGCAACUUGCUUUCUGUGAAUAUUUACUCAGUAGUUUCAUUUCCAUUCUUUUUUGCCCUUAAUUUGAAAGUGCUGCUUUGCUAUUGAUAAUUUUGUAUUUUAAUAUGUGAGGUUAAUCCCUCUGUGUUUGGUAGGAAAAAGUGAUACAUUUGAACUUAUUUCUAUUAUGUGAUUUUGGAUUUUGGAUUUGCAAAACUUUAUCCUUGAUUCUCUUUUCCUUUCUCCAGACUUAUUUUCAACUGACAUUUCCUUUUCCAUUUCCUUCUUAUGCUGAUUUGUAGGUUUUCCAGCCUAUUUACUGUUCUUUAGUGUCCUACAUUUUAAAAUAAUUCUUAAAUUAUCGACUAAUAAUUUUAAGCAUAUUGGAUUUGCGGUUUUCUCCCAGUGCUCUAGUUAUAAUCUCUUCUAUCUUGUCAUUUUAUUCUUGUUAUUUUUCUAUUAAUUCCUGAGAUAUAGGUAUUAGAAUUGUCAAAUUGUGAAUUUAAGCAUUUACCCUUUAAAUUUGGUUAUUUUUGCUUCGUAUAUUUUGUUAUUUUGUAUCAGGUGCAUGCAUGCUUAUGAUCAUUAGGUUUUCUAAGCAAGUGGACUCAUUAAUAUAAAAUGUCCUUCUCUGUCCCUGGCGAUGCUGGUCCUUCCUGUCGUCUGUCUCAUCUGCCAUCCAUACACCUGUGCAGCCUCCUGAUAACAAGUAUUUCUGUGGUAUACAUUUGUCCAUCUUUUCAGCUUGAAUCUAUUUGUAUCUUUAUCUUGAAAGAAUGUUUCUUUGUAAAAGCAUAUCGAGGCUUGCUUUUUACCUGCAUUGACAGUCUCUUUUUCAGUGGCAGUGUUCAGUCAGUGCAGAUCUGCUAUUCCUGUGGUUGGGUUUAAGUCAGCACCUGAACCUGUUAUUUCCUCUGUUCCGCUUUCCUGGUCUUCUGGAUUAUUGUAGUUUUGCUUUGUCUGUUUGUUUGUUUGUUUAAUAAGGGUUUUUUGGUUGUCUUUUUAGUAUGGAUUUUGUACCUUGUUUUUUUUUAACUAUGACUUCUUGUUUUAUUUAUUUUCAGUGAGUCAUUUAGAAAUUAAAAUAUAAAUACUUAAAGUCUCAUAUUAAAUAAAGAUCAUAACAUUUUAUAUAAAUAUAAAAUCCUUACUGCACCCUCCUCUCAGCUUCUGUACCAUGUUGUCAGUGAGGUUUCUUCUGCAUAUGUUGUAAUUUCCAGAGGAUGUCAUUAAAACAGUAAUUUUCCCUCCACCAUUUAUUGUUUUUGGUACUCUUUAAUCUUUUUUGUGAACUAGAAUUUCCAAUUGUUGUCAUUUUUCUUCAUCCUGUUUGCAUUUAUUGUGGUUUGGGUGUGAUGACCACACAAUCUCUCAGCCUUUGUUUAACUGAAAAUGUACUUUUCUCAACUUCAGUUCUAAAGGCUACUUCAGCAGGUUCAGAAUUCCAAGGAAACCUACUUUCAACAGUGUGAGGUCUGUACCCCGUAGUGCUCUGGGCACCAUCGUCUCUGAUGAGGUGGCUGUAGCGGGAGACCUGGACCCUGUGGGGCUGCUGCAUGGGGGGACACCCACGGUUCACCUGGACCCUACGGGGCUGCAGUGUGGGGGGACACCCACAGUUCACCUGGGCCCUGUGGGGCUGCCACGUGGCGGGGGACACCCACGGUUCACCUGGACC